GAUUAAAUAUCUAAUAAAUAGUUAUAAUAGCGAAUUCACAAAAAUAGUUCCAAAAAAUCUUUAUAAAAAUUAAUGGUUUCUACCAAGGAAAUCCUGUGGAAAACGGUUUCACUAUUCUUCUUCUUUUCUGAAGACUUGCGCAAACAGUUUCACAAUCUGAUCGUCUAAACAAUCUCAUUCUCCAUCUUUUUGUACUCCACUAUUUUUCUUCAUCUUCUUUCUACACCAAGCAGAAACUCUCAGGUAAAAUUGUUGCGGGUGGCGUCUUUCGUGACAAGUGGUGUUGGGUUAGGAGAUGCUUUCACUUUAAAGGAGGGAUUGGCUUUUCUUUUGAAGUCGAGCUUCUCACCAUCAUUAAUUACCCAUGCUCAAGGAUGGCUUCACUUGUGGAUUGAGUCAGAGUCCGCAUAUAUUGUCCGUUUGUUGACCUCUAGGUCUCCCAUGGUCCUAUGGAGGUUCGUCGUUUCUUGAAAAAACACCCUUAAUCUGCUUUCUGAUUUUCAUCUUCAAGUUAGCCAUAUUUUUUGCAAAGGAAAUAAAGCUGCAGAUAUCAUGGAAAACAAUAAUAUGCAAGAGAGCUGGUGGGCUCGUGAAAUUGAUGUUAUAAAAACUGCCGUUCGCAUGGAUAUUUUGACUCACAGUCAUAUUCGUAAAGUGGUGUAAUUCUUGAUGGUUCUAAGCGGAUCGCAUUUCUUCUUUCUCCUGGCGGAUUCGGCUCUGUUGCUAAUUCGUGGUUCUUUCUUCUCCAUCUUGUCCAGUAGGACAAUUUGGUCUGGAGCUUCUUGCAUUCUGAUAUUGCCCCUCCUUGUUUCGAGAUGCAGGUCAGCGCCAUUUUCCUUGAAUGAUAGCGAGCUUUGGGUCUGGAUUUUGGUUGAAUAGGUAGCGGGCAUCUUUGGUUGCUUGCUGUCGUGUGGUAGAUUUCUCUUCUGGGGACGUUACCAUAGGUUUUGCUUGGGGUUCUUGCUUUGGGGAGCGAGAUUCUCCUAUUUUGAUCUUCGAGGUUUGCGAAUUUACUCUUUUGGCUCGUCACUUUGCUUGUCUUUGGAAGUUGGGCAACUUCGUCUUGUUGUAUUAGUUGCUUGCCUUUAUUUAUUUAUUUAUUAUUGGUGGUUUUGUGCACGGACCUUUUUUUAGCGUCUUGGUGCGCUAAGUGCUAGGGUCGGUUGGGCUGAGUUCGUGCUUGUUGCAGCUCUCCUGCGGGUUGCCCCUCUAACCUUUUUUCUAAGUCUCGGUAAGCUGAGCUCUAGGGUCGAGGGGGUUCAUCGCCUUCUUUUUUGCUCGUCACUGCAAUCUUAGUAAAGCCAAAAUCAGGGUGAUGGUUACUCCGAAGCGCUAGUUUGAGUUUUGCCUUUGUUGUAGUCAGGUUUUUUGGCGAUGGUAAGCUUCAUGUGAUGGUUAGUCCGAACUCAUUAUUGCUUGUGUUUCUUUAAUUUGUGUUGUUAUUUACUUUUCUUACACGUACUAUUUUUCCUCUUCUUGAGGUUUUAACGACGCCCGACCCUUAGUCUGC
Salvia miltiorrhiza (redroot sage) is the source of this 1510-nucleotide long non-coding RNA. RefSeq lists it as uncharacterized. The record is from RefSeq and is a predicted model, not a curated record. Lineage: Eukaryota; Viridiplantae; Streptophyta; Magnoliopsida; Lamiales; Lamiaceae. The transcript is spliced from 2 exons.